This is a long non-coding RNA of Triticum aestivum (bread wheat), 551 nucleotides long. RefSeq lists it as uncharacterized. NCBI's taxonomy places the organism in Eukaryota, Viridiplantae, Streptophyta, Magnoliopsida, Poales, Poaceae. The record is from RefSeq and is a predicted model, not a curated record. The transcript has 2 exons.
CCUCCUCUAGCGAUCUCUAGCGUCGUUGCUCCGCCGUCUCCUCUGUUCUCCUUCUAUGUCAUCCACGACUCAAAAUUCCACUCUGCAAUCAACAUCUUGAUGAAAUUUCUCCCAUUACCCUCCUCUGUUAUGUUUCCUAUCCAAUCUCUGAAUCCCCUUGGUUUUAACUAACGUCAUGUAUUUUCAGAACAAUUAGUAAAACAAUUGUCAGCCGGAAGAUGGUUGAUGCACCGGAACAGAUUGUGUACGGCCGGAAGGUUGAAGCUGAUUGAGUGGUUGUGUUAUCGUCGGAGAGGCUGCGGGGUGGAUGGACUACCCUCGUGCAUCCACUAUGGAGAUUAUGAUCCAAAGGAAGGGACUAGGGAAGGAGGUCUGAUCUGCAUCUCAUCAGGGAGCACACGACAAAAUCCUUUUAGUUGGGCCGCGUUCCUUCCGUCAGAACAGCUCACCCUGAUGGUUACGUGCAGGCUUUAACGGUUUUUUCGUUUUACCUCAGUUAAUUAAUAUUUAUUGUUUGAGUGUUAUCCAAUGAAAUUAGUUAAUGUUUCUCA